Molecule: ribosomal RNA, 497 nt
Filed under: uncultured bacterium
Lineage: Bacteria
Description: bacterial SSU rRNA
Rfam family: Bacterial small subunit ribosomal RNA
Source: RNAcentral
UAAGGAAUAUUGGUCAAUGGACGCAAGUCUGAACCAGCCAUGCCGCGUGCAGGAUGACUGCCCUAUGGGUUGUAAACUGCUUUUAUACGGGAAGAAACCCCUCUACGUGUAGAGGGCUGACGGUACUGUAAGAAUAAGGACCGGCUAACUUCGUGCCAGCAGCCGCGGUAAUACGAAGGGUCCAAGCGUUAUCCGGAUUUAUUGGGUUUAAAGGGUGCGUAGGCGGCUUAUUAAGUCAGUGGUGAAAGACUUCAGCUUAACUGAAGAACUGCCAUUGAUACUGAUGAGCUUGAAUAUAGUUGAGGUGGGCGGAAUGUGUCAUGUAGCGGUGAAAUGCUUAGAUAUGACACAGAACACCGAUUGCGAAGGCAGCUCGCUAAACUAUGAUUGACGCUGAUGCACGAAAGCGUGGGGAGCAAACAGGAUUAGAUACCCUGGUAGUCCACGCCCUAAACGUUGAUAACUCGUUGUGUGCGAUAUACAGUACGCGACUAAGC